AUAUUGGGCAAUGGGGGCAACCCUGACCCAGCGACGCCGCGUGGGGGAAGACGGCCUUCGGGUUGUAAACCUCCUUUGUACGGGAAGAAGGAAGUGACGGUACUGUACGAAUAAGUCCCGGCUAACUACGUGCCAGCAGCCGCGGUAAUACGUAGGGGACGAGCGUUGUCCGGAAUUACUGGGCGUAAAGGGCGCGCAGGCUGUGCUGCAAGUCAGCUGUUAAAUGUCUGGGCUUAACCCGGGCAUGCGGUUGAGACUGCGGUGCUGGAGUGCUGUAGAGGCAAGUGGAAUUCCCAGUGUAGCGGUGAAAUGCGUAGAUAUUGGGAAGAACACCGGUGGCGAAGGCGACUUGCUGGGCAGCAACUGACGCUGAGGCGCGAAAGCCAGGGGAGCAAACGG
Molecule: ribosomal RNA, 399 nt
Filed under: uncultured bacterium
Lineage: Bacteria
Description: bacterial SSU rRNA
Rfam family: Bacterial small subunit ribosomal RNA
Source: RNAcentral